CGGGAAUUUUGGGCAAUGGGCGAAAGCCUGACCCAGCAACGCCGCGUGAGGGAUGAAGUAUUUCGGUAUGUAAACCUCGAAAGAAUGGGAAGAAUAAAUGACGGUACCAUUUAUAAGCUCCGGCUAACUACGUGCCAGCAGCCGCGGUAAUACGUAGGGAGCAAGCGUUGUUCGGAUUUACUGGGCGUAAAGGGCGCGUAGGCGGCGCGGUAAGUCACUUGUGAAAUCUCUGAGCUUAACUCAGAACGGCCAAGUGAUACUGCUGUGCUAGAGUGCGGAAGAGGCAACCGGAAUUCUUGGUGUAGCGGUGAAAUGCGUAGAUAUCAAGAGGAACACCUGAGGCGAAGGCGGGUUGCUGGGCCGGCACUGACGCUGAUGCGCGAAAGCCAGGGGAGCAAACG
RNAcentral lists this ribosomal RNA (401 nucleotides) under uncultured bacterium. RNAcentral's name for it is "bacterial SSU rRNA". It matches the Rfam family "Bacterial small subunit ribosomal RNA", at positions 356 to 774 of the family's 1533-position model. The record is from RNAcentral.